Long non-coding RNA from Trachemys scripta elegans, 690 nucleotides. RefSeq lists it as uncharacterized. The record is from RefSeq and is a predicted model, not a curated record. The transcript has 4 exons. Lineage: Eukaryota; Metazoa; Chordata; Testudines; Emydidae.
CAUCCCGCCCCGCCGCUUGAUCGUGAAACUGAAAACUCAGCACGGAUGCCAAAAUCUGUGAAGGAACUGUUCCAUAUCACAGCCCCAGGCCUGCUCUCCUUCCAGCCACUCAUCACACAUACAAGAAGAAUCCAUCCAUCAUCUCACGAGUAAUCAGGAGGAGUAUCUUUAACACCAGUCCCUUAUGGAGAGUGUGAAGAGGAAUGCACAGCCUCAGAUUGCAGCAGCAUUUCUGCUGCUCUCCCUGUAAAAUUAGAGCUACCAGGAAUCUUGGCAUAAGUCAAACAGAAAUGCUGGCAUGGUAAUCCUGCCGGCAAAACGUCUCAACCCCUACACUUCUGCUAAGACACUGCUGGGCACUGGACCCUGGAGGUGUAAACACCAGAGAAAGCUAUCUGGGCAGCGAGUCCUAGCAGAAGAGGAUGAAGUUCCAAAAUGCCCUUCUCAUCACACAGCAGAACAGCUGAUGGGCUCAAGUUACAGAACAGCCCAAGUCCGUCCAGCAUUUCUCCUGGGAGACUUUUGCAUAAUCUGAUAUAGUGCCACUUAUAUGGAACCCACAAAGAAAAAGAGAGCUAAGCACUGGACCAUCUGCCGAAUUCCCCACAGGAACCUGGCUUUGAGAAACAGUAAGCACAGGCACAAGCAUUAGAAAUCAUUUAAAAUAAUUAUUCAUAGGCCCUGUAAUAA